RNAcentral lists this ribosomal RNA (427 nucleotides) under uncultured bacterium. RNAcentral's name for it is "bacterial SSU rRNA". It matches the Rfam family "Bacterial small subunit ribosomal RNA", at positions 355 to 774 of the family's 1533-position model. The record is from RNAcentral.
UGGGGAAUUUUGGACAAUGGGCGCAAGCCUGAUCCAGCAAUGCCGCGUGCAGGAUGAAGGCCUUCGGGUUGUAAACUGCUUUUGUCAGGGAAGAAACGAGUUUCUCUAAUACAGAGACUUAAUGACGGUACCUGAAGAAUAAGCACCGGCUAACUACGUGCCAGCAGCCGCGGUAAUACGUAGGGUGCGAGCGUUAAUCGGAAUUACUGGGCGUAAAGCGUGCGCAGGCGGUUAUAUAAGACAGAUGUGAAAUCCCCGGGCUCAACCUGGGACCUGCAUUUGUGACUGUAUAGCUAGAGUACGGUAGAGGGGGAUGGAAUUCCGCGUGUAGCAGUGAAAUGCGUAGAUAUGCGGAGGAACACCGAUGGCGAAGGCAAUCCCCUGGACCUGUACUGACGCUCAUGCACGAAAGCGUGGGGAGCAAACA